RNAcentral lists this ribosomal RNA (200 nucleotides) under Porphyromonadaceae bacterium. Its description in RNAcentral is "partial 23S ribosomal RNA". It matches the Rfam family "Bacterial large subunit ribosomal RNA", at positions 2711 to 2925 of the family's 2925-position model. The record is from RNAcentral. Lineage: Bacteria; Pseudomonadati; Bacteroidota; Bacteroidia; Bacteroidales; Porphyromonadaceae.
GGUUUAUCGGUUAUGCCGCCAGGCGUAUUGCCGAGUAGCUACGUUCGGUUGAGAUAAGUGCUGAAAGCAUCUAAGUACGAAGCUUGCCUCAAGAUUAGAUCUCAUUAUAAGGGUGGUUAUAGACGAUGACCUUGAUAGGCUACAGGUGUAAAGGCGGUGACGUCAUAGCCGAGUAGUACUAAUUGCCCGAAAGUUUUUGC